UCCUACGGGAGGCAGCAGUGGGGAAUAUUGCACAAUGGGGGGAACCCUGAUGCAGCGACGCCGCGUGAGCGAUGAAGUAUUUCGGUAUGUAAAGCUCUAUCAGCAGGGAAGAAAAUGACGGUACCUGACUAAGAAGCCCCGGCUAACUACGUGCCAGCAGCCGCGGUAAUACGUAGGGGGCAAGCGUUAUCCGGAUUUACUGGGUGUAAAGGGAGCGUAGACGGCUGUGCAAGUCUGGAGUGAAAGGCAUGGGCUCAACCUGUGGACUGCUUUGGAAACUGCGCGGCUUGAGUAUCGGAGAGGCA
This 305-nucleotide ribosomal RNA is filed under the name uncultured bacterium. Its description in RNAcentral is "bacterial SSU rRNA". It matches the Rfam family "Bacterial small subunit ribosomal RNA", at positions 337 to 659 of the family's 1533-position model. The record is from RNAcentral.